AUUGAACGCUGGCGGAAUGCUUUACACAUGCAGGUCGAACGGUAGAGGGGGCAACCCCUCGAGAGUGGCGAACGGGUGAGUAAUAUAUCGGAACGUGCCCAGUCGUGGGGGAUAACGUAGCGAAAGUUACGCUAAUACCGCAUACGAUCUAAGGAUGAAAGCGGGGGAUCGCAAGACCUCGCGCGAUUGGAGCGGCCGAUAUCAGAUUAGGUAGUUGGUGGGGUAAAGGCUCACCAAGCCAACGAUCUGUAGCUGGUCUGAGAGGACGACCAUCCACACUGGAACUGAGACACGGUCCAGACUCCUACGGGAGGCAGCAGUGGGGAAUUUUGGACAAUGGACGCAAGUCUGAUCCAGCCAUUCCGCGUGCAGGAUGAAGGCCCUCGGGUUGUAAACUGCUUUUGUACGGAACGAAAAGGUCUCUCUUAAUACGGGGGGCUCAUGACGGUACCGUAAGAAUAAGCACCGGCUAACUACGUGCCAGCCGCCGCGGUAA
RNAcentral lists this ribosomal RNA (496 nucleotides) under uncultured bacterium. Its description in RNAcentral is "partial 16S ribosomal RNA". It matches the Rfam family "Bacterial small subunit ribosomal RNA", at positions 30 to 523 of the family's 1533-position model. The record is from RNAcentral.